RNAcentral lists this transfer RNA (72 nucleotides) under Camelus bactrianus (Bactrian camel). It matches the Rfam family "tRNA". From Rfam's summary of the family: Transfer RNA (tRNA) molecules are approximately 80 nucleotides in length. Their secondary structure includes four short double-helical elements and three loops (D, anti-codon, and T loops). Lineage: Eukaryota; Metazoa; Chordata; Mammalia; Artiodactyla; Camelidae. The record is from Rfam by way of RNAcentral. RNAcentral also lists the same sequence under 1 other name.
GAGGGUGUAGCUCUGUGGUAGAGUUCAGGCUUAGCGUGCACAAGGUCCUGGGUUCAACCCCCAGCACCUCUG